Molecule: ribosomal RNA, 1341 nt
Filed under: uncultured bacterium
Lineage: Bacteria
Description: partial 16S ribosomal RNA
Rfam family: Bacterial small subunit ribosomal RNA
Source: RNAcentral
GACGAACGCUGGCGGCGUGCUUAACACAUGCAAGUCGAACGGUAAGGCUCCAGCUUGCUGGGGUACACGAGUGGCGAACGGGUGAGUAACACGUGGGUGACCUGCCCUGCACUUCGGGAUAAGCCUGGGAAACUGGGUCUAAUACCGGAUAGGACCGCACCGUGAGGGUGUGGUGGAAAGUUUUUUCGGUGUGGGAUGGGCCCGCGGCCUAUCAGCUUGUUGGUGGGGUAAUGGCCUACCAAGGCGGCGACGGGUAGCCGGCCUGAGAGGGUGGACGGCCACAUUGGGACUGAGACACGGCCCAGACUCCUACGGGAGGCAGCAGUGGGGAAUAUUGCACAAUGGGCGGAAGCCUGAUGCAGCGACGCCGCGUGGGGGAUGACGGCCUUCGGGUUGUAAACUCCUUUCACCAUCGACGAAGGGUUUCUGACGGUAGAUGGAGAAGAAGCACCGGCUAACUACGUGCCAGCAGCCGCGGUAAUACGUAGGGUGCGAGCGUUGUCCGGAAUUACUGGGCGUAAAGAGCUCGUAGGUGGUUUGUCGCGUCGUCUGUGAAAUUCCGGGGCUUAACUCCGGGCGUGCAGGCGAUACGGGCAUAACUUGAGUACUGUAGGGGAGACUGGAAUUCCUGGUGUAGCGGUGAAAUGCGCAGAUAUCAGGAGGAACACCGGUGGCGAAGGCGGGUCUCUGGGCAGUAACUGACGCUGAGGAGCGAAAGCAUGGGGAGCGAACAGGAUUAGAUACCCUGGUAGUCCAUGCCGUAAACGGUGGGCGCUAGGUGUGGGUUUCCUUCCACGGGAUCCGUGCCGUAGCUAACGCAUUAAGCGCCCCGCCUGGGGAGUACGGCCGCAAGGCUAAAACUCAAAGGAAUUGACGGGGGCCCGCACAAGCGGCGGAGCAUGUGGAUUAAUUCGAUGCAACGCGAAGAACCUUACCUGGGCUUGACAUAUACAGGAUCGCGCCAGAGAUGGUGUUUCCCUUGUGGCUUGUAUACAGGUGGUGCAUGGUUGUCGUCAGCUCGUGUCGUGAGAUGUUGGGUUAAGUCCCGCAACGAGCGCAACCCUUGUCUUAUGUUGCCAACACGUUGUGGUGGGGACUCGUAAGAAACUGCCGGGGUUAACUCGGAGGAAGGUGGGGAUGACGUCAAAUCAUCAUGCCCCUUAUGUCCAGGGCUUCACACAUGCUACAAUGGUCGGUACAGUGGGUUGCCAGUCCGUGAGGGCGAGCUAAUCCCGCAAAGCCGGUCUCAGUUCGGAUCGGGGUCUGCAACUCGACCCCGUGAAGUCGGAGUCGCUAGUAAUCGCAGAUCAGCAACGCUGCGGUGAAUACGUUCCCGGGCCU